Lucilia cuprina (Australian sheep blowfly) is the source of this 791-nucleotide long non-coding RNA. RefSeq lists it as uncharacterized. The transcript has 2 exons. NCBI's taxonomy places the organism in Eukaryota, Metazoa, Arthropoda, Insecta, Diptera, Calliphoridae. The record is from RefSeq and is a predicted model, not a curated record.
AAAAACAAAUAUGUACAAGUAAAAAAAAAAAAACAACAAGACAGAUGGAAUGUCAUAAAACAACCCUGGAAUAUUUCUACCGAAUCCAAGAAAACUAAGAAAAUUUUAAUAAAAUAAUCAAAGAAAACUUACUCCUUUUGGGCAGCAUCCUUAGCAGCGAUGGUACGAACAACACCACGAUUCUGUAAAUCACCUAGAGCAGCUCGUUUUGUUACCUCAGUGGUGGUAAAGAAACCAGCCACCAGCGCACUCCUAGUUUGGGGGGCGCCAUUUUGUAUGGAAAUUGUUAUUGGAAAUAGGAAUACCGGCGGCAGCAGUUUAGAAAACUUUUGUUGUUGUUUUUGUUUAAACUAAAGGAGCCGCCAGCCAUCAUGGUUGGAAAAGAUUAGAGACAACACCACAACACACAAUUUGUUAGUUAUUGUUGUUGUUUGCGGAAGGCAAGGAGGGGGAAAAAUAAAAUGGGAAAUGUACCGUAAGUAUAAAAUAACAAUUUUGUUCAAGUUUUAUAUUUUUUAUACAAAAAGAGUCUCAGCUUCAUUAAACGGUACUUUUCCGCGCCGUUCUUUAAAACCAAGGCUCCCCUUAGUUUAACUGGAAAAUAUUUAAAGAAAAAUACUAAACAACAAAACUCACCUCGUCUACACGUUUUAAGACUGUGGUUCCAACCAUUUUGUUAGCGAUCUUUAUUUAAAUUUAAUAAAAUAUUAAUUAAUUAAACGAUAGGUUUCUUUGGUAAUUGAAAAAACCUUUUUCGUUAAUAAAAAAACACUUUUUCUUUUAAAACGUUA